GGCUUUGUGUUAUUAUUGGUUGUUGUUGUCAACAUUUCAGCUUUUUCUCAUUGUGCCUUUGCUCUAUUUUUACAAUUUUGGCAGUUUUUUAAAAUUGUAUUUUGUUUCUGCAGUGAUGCAAUGACAAUGAACCAGGGGCCGUGGAUGGACCCUGGGCUGCACUUUGGGCACCCCUAUUUUUGUGGCUCUUUGUCGGGGUCGAGCUAAUUCAGGGAUGUUAUGGACUCUGAUGUCUUAUUCAGUAGGGGGUGUUUUGCUUGACUCUGACCUCUCUGUAUCCCCAAACAUAUCCAGAGUUAAUCCUCCAGCUUAUCCUGGAUAUGAAGACAUCCUGCUUCAUCGUACAAGCCCCUGGUUUAUGGAGGACGACAUAAGAUGAUAAGUUCAUACCAGUUUUUGAUUCUGACUGUUUCUGUGCAGAAGUGUCUUAGAAUUGCAUGUGUACUGUAGCAAGGCUGAAGAAAGAAUACAGUAAAUGUCAUACUACACUAGACUAUAGUAUUCCAUUACAAGUUAAUCAGAGAGCUGCUGACCCGUGUUGAUUGUGAUCUUGCAGGAAUCCACUUGAUCUAGUUAGCAUCUAGUUACCUACAUUGUAGCCACCUUCAUUGUGUUUGUUGCCGUCUCCUCCUCUCCCUCUCCAUGCUCACAUCUAGAUGGCGUAACUGCUGCAGGAAGCCCGAGUUCGGACAGAUGUCUCGGUGAGUCCUGACAGCAGCCGCCGCCUCCCUGAGGCUCAGAUCUUCACAGAUCAUGAGCCAGUGCCCUGCUAAUGUAUCGUGCUGUUGGGUAGAAGAAGGGACUCAGGAUGAAGUCCACUGAAUCAUCAGCCUCUACUCCGUAAUAGUCCACGAGCAUGUCUCUGUAGAAGCGGGGCCCCGUGUGGACAAUGAAAUGCGGCCACUGGCUGUUAUGUGGGGAUCCAUGAGCUGCGUUUACAAUGAGAAGCUCCUGUAGCUCUGACACAGAGGGAGGCUCGUAUGAUGGAUCCCUGAGAGACAUUCUGGUUGGGCCAGACUUCAUCCACUGCUGUGAGCUCCAGAGUGCAGGAAUCCAAAAUGAGCUCCAGUUCUUUAAUGAGCACCAGGUCGUGUUGCUGCUCUUUGCGUCCUGACAUUCUGUCCUCAUCGGCGGAGAACCAUAACACUGUUUGAGUCGAAUGCCGGUCACUGCCAAAGGCUGCUCACUGCACAGUGAAGGACAUCAGCAGGUGCUUGUUUGAAUGCCAAAAUUAGCUCAGUGUUUUCUCGUAUGAUGUUGUGUGACGGCCAAAGGUCCAAGACUGAGACGCCGAGGUCACUCGAGCAGUAUUGUUGGAAGGAUUUUUCUCUUUACUUAUUUAUGUGCAACUUCCUGUCAGCAGCUUUUUAUAAAUG
Dunckerocampus dactyliophorus (ringed pipefish) is the source of this 1376-nucleotide long non-coding RNA. RefSeq lists it as uncharacterized. The transcript is spliced from 4 exons. Lineage: Eukaryota; Metazoa; Chordata; Actinopteri; Syngnathiformes; Syngnathidae. The record is from RefSeq and is a predicted model, not a curated record.